RNAcentral lists this ribosomal RNA (330 nucleotides) under Escherichia coli. Its description in RNAcentral is "partial 23S ribosomal RNA". It matches the Rfam family "Bacterial large subunit ribosomal RNA", at positions 1412 to 1744 of the family's 2925-position model. Lineage: Bacteria; Pseudomonadati; Pseudomonadota; Gammaproteobacteria; Enterobacterales; Enterobacteriaceae. The record is from RNAcentral.
UAGUCGAUGGGAAACAGGUUAAUAUUCCUGUACUUGGUGUUACUGCGAAGGGGGGACGGAGAAGGCUAUGUUGGCCGGGCGACGGUUGUCCCGGUUUAAGCGUGUAGGCUGGUUUUCCAGGCAAAUCCGGAAAAUCAAGGCUGAGGCGUGAUGACGAGGCACUACGGUGCUGAAGCAACAAAUGCCCUGCUUCCAGGAAAAGCCUCUAAGCAUCAGGUAACAUCAAAUCGUACCCCAAACCGACACAGGUGGUCAGGUAGAGAAUACCAAGGCGCUUGAGAGAACUCGGGUGAAGGAACUAGGCAAAAUGGUGCCGUAACUUCGGGAGAA